GGAAAGAAAGAAAAGGAAAGGAAAGAAAAGAGAAAGAGAAGAAGAAGGAGAGGAACAGAACCUAGGUCUCUGCCUUCUGGAAGCUCUUCCAGUGUGGGAGAGAAGAUGGACAGACCCAGAGGUGGCCAAGAGUUGUGCUGAUGGUGAGGCCUGUGCAGGAGGUAAGUGCCAGAAGAGAGGGAUGGGAAGGCUGGCUGACAAGAGGGGAGGGAGCAUUCCAAGCCUGGAGGGGAUGUAGCAGCCUAUGGAGGGGGAAGGGGACCUGAGGAGAGAGGCCUAAAAUAAAGGACAAAGCAGUUGCUGGCCUCAGGCUCACACUUGCAGUUCACUAACCUGCCCUCAAGCCUUGAUCUGCGGGGGCACCUACAGCCCAGCAUUUGCCCACAUGGGCCCUUGUCACCAUGGUCCAGGGCCUGCCUGUCUUCCUUCCCCACCCCCUGAGAGGCGAGCCCACACAGACAAGUGUGUGUGCACACAUUGACACACACCUCUACUGUAUGAAACUUGCACACGCUUACUGUAAAUACAGCAACCCACACAAAAUCACAUGGUGUAUGCACCCGCUAGACACUCCAGGAUAUCGGCUCUGCCAAGCUCUUUCUAGACAUCCAUGUGGCCUGUGUACACGUGCGCUGUUCGGCUUCCACAAAUGUGGACGUGGAAUUUGCAUGCACAUGUGAUCUCCAUAUAUGCACACCCACUUUGUUCACAGCCUGUACACACACCAACCCACCACUGAUACAGAGACACCCCCCGUGUGAAUUACACUGAGGAUCAGACAAGGCCUAACCGCAGCUCUCACUUUGCGUCUUCUGAUGCAGCAAGUGGAUUUUUGACAGCGGCAGUGGAGGUUUCAUGGAGGAGGGGGAACUGGGAGGAGUGUGUGGGGUAACGGGGAGGUUCUGGCAGAAGAGGGGAACUAGGCCUUCCCUGAAGUCCAUGAGGAAGGCACCCAGACACAUGCCCUUCUCCCAGCAGCCCUACCUCUGGCCCCUCGCCUGCUGCCAGGCCAGAGAAAGGAGAAGCUAAAAGUGGCCAGUCUGAGUUGCUAAAUUGGACCUUGGCAGAGAAGGGGAAACGCGUCAGUUCCCUGGGGAAGUGGCUGAGCCCAGGGCGGCCACAGGCCCCUGAGCUUCUACUCCAAUGGAACAAAAGUUGCUCAAAUAGAUCUGACGCUUUGUUUUCGAACCCAAAAUACCCUGUGGUGGCCGCCGGAAGUGUGACCGCGGGAGGGAAGUGGGGCAAGAGGGGAAGAUUAGUUCGAGUUUCCAUUGCAGGCGACUUUAUAUUUCAUUCGGGGUCUAGAAGCAGCUUUCCUGCUACUUGGAGAGAGUGUUUGUGUGAAAGGGGAGUGCGGCUCUGAGAUUUGGGGUCUGGGCCACCUGAAGUGACAGCAGUCACCCUUCUUCUGCAGCCAUCUCUCCCCAGAGGUGGCCUCUGAAAAUAGCCCUGUCCUCACGCACUGUCAGAAUUUCAUCUCCGGCCACCUGGUGGCAGGGUGGGAAAGCCCACCCUGGAGAAGUGGGGAUGAUUAGACUGGGAAGGGGACAAGUGGCAGGUGACUUUGUCUUUAGAUACUAGACUUUCCCUUGUGAACGUUGAUUCUUUUUUUGUUUGUUUGUUUUAACAAAAAUUCUCUACACAGAAUUUUUCAAAGAGCACUCAGUAAAUGAGGCCGUAGCUGGACCAAAACACAGACCCAUGUAUUCAGACUCGGUCCUUUAAUGACUACCAGUGCGAGCUCCAAACUGCAAGGAUUCCCGAAGAAUUACAGGACCUCAGUGUGCACUCCCAUCACCUUCUGUACCCUUAUCCCUAUUUAUCUUCACACCACUGAUCAGCAUCUCAUAUGUGUGUAUUUGUCUGUUUCCACCCUGAAUACUCAUUAGACCUGAACUCUCCGCACUGGAAGGACUUGGACUUGGCUUUCAUCGGUGCCAUAUCCCCAGUGGCUGACCACACAGUAGGUGCACCAUAACCGAUGCUCAAAUGCUGGGAAAAAAUGGGAGGAAGAGAGGUCAUCAGACAGUCGUCUUGCCUCAUGGGAACUUGUAAAUUCAAAACUGUUUCGGUGGCUCUACCCCAGCCUCUGGUGCCAUAUCAGGGUGCAGUAGGGCUCCAGAGGGGAGAGUUGGGGGGAUACGAUGGGAAUACAAUACAAAAUGAGACGCUCUGGCCCUUGUGGAACAAACCUUUGUGGGAGGAGGGCGGAGCAGACAUUUGUCAAAGGAUACACAAAGGUCGAAAGGUAAGCAGGGAGGAUUUCGGUCAACCUAGGAGAGGUAUUUGGAGUGACACCUGGAAGAGGUACACCGGGAAGGCUUUUUAGAGCGUGCUUAGACUGACCGAUGGGGUUUGACUCUGUGAAGGUCCCAGCCCCUGCCUGACACCGCGCGGGGCUGAGUGCAGUGGCCGGGGUGCCUCCCUUUGGCACCCGGACACCAGGGAUUCGAACCAGUCGCCUGACAGGCCGAACGGCGCCGCCCAGGGCCAGCAGGGCGGGGUGAGGGGGGACUUGUGAACCCGGGCUGCAGUUCAGACGCGGCCGCGCGGCCUCGUCCCUGAGUGCUAUUUACCAGCUUUUAAUGAAGGCAAGGUAAUCACCCUAAUGAAAAACGCCCUCGAGGCUCAGGGCAGCCAGACUGCGAUGAGGAAACCGGGAGGCAUCUCAGAGCCGCCAGUGAGUCACAGUGAGUGUGCAGCGCGCCGGCUUGCGCUGGGCUAGAAGGAUGCCCGGGCGCCCUCCCUACCGCGCGCCACUCCUGCGCGGCGCCUGGAGCCCCGAGCGUGACAGCGUGCUCGCAGGGCCGUGGGGUCUACACUCCAGGCACUCCGACACCCCCUGGGAAACCACGCCCCAUCAGCCAAGCCUCCAGCAGACCCGAAUUCUCCACUGCAACGUUUGAUCAGGCCUGCAAGGGGCUCUUCCUCUUCCUCCCUACUCAGCGCUGGGCUUCCCAGGUGCCUGGAUUUUGGAGGGUCUACUCUCUGGUGGGUUCAAGGCACCCCUGAAGAUUCUGGGUUUCACGUCUCUCCUAAGGACAAUUUUUCUCCCAGUACCUCAGUUUCCCCAACUCAGUACCGGUAGCAUAAGAUUCUCCACACCAUCCUCCACACCCUGCCCCCGGGUGGCAAGAGUAUUAAUUACAGUUUGUUCCUGGCUUUGAAGAUGAAAAAUACCAAGGAUCAUUACCACUCAAUUAACGGGGCUGUUUACUCCUGGAGUUUAGAGCUGAUUAAUCUGCCCCCUGCCACUUGCCUUGGAUCCAUGUUGCCCCCUGAUGCCCCUUCCUUGGACUCUCACAAGCUCCUCCUUCCUCCUGGAUUCAUACGUGGAGUUAGUGCCUUUCCUGUACCUGCCAAUACUCUUGGGGCCUGCAAGAGCAUUUGGCACAUUCUGUCUUCAACAAGUAUUGUUGAGCUCCCGGCAAAGCCAGGGGCUAGAUGGUAGGGAAGCGAAGGUCACAGACCAAAGCCCUUGCCUUCCUGGAGCUUGCCUUCUGGUAAGUGCCCAAAUGUCUACGUGGGAUUGGGUGUAAGUCCAUGGCUUCCUCUUGCCUUCCCCCUCUCCCUCUAGGCUUCCUCAUUCAGACAACAAACCAUGGGCAGUCCUAGGCCAGGCACCCCAGUCCUGGGUGGGCAGUGCUAACAGGCUCUAGUUUCAGAGAUGAAAACAACAAAGUUAAAGAGGAGGGGAAAAGAUCACAGCGCCUUGUAUGGAACACCCCCCACCCUUCCCCUCCUCUCUUCUUCUCAGCCCUUUCUUGAGGUCUUGGUCAGGCGCCCCGUCUUCUAUAGGGCAUUCCCUGGCCCUGAACAUCUCUCUCCUCCAAGCCUGCAGUGGCCCUUACCAAUCGGAACUUCCUGCUUAUACCUCCUCUGGACAUGUAUCAUGUCUCAUACGUGAUAUUUCCACUGAGCCUCAUUCCACACUUCUCAUUAAACUGCUGCUCCCUGACAGCAGAAUCCAAGCCUCGAGUGGUUUUCUUCCACUAAGAAUGCAUGGGAGUUCUGUGUAGAUGUUGCCCUCACUGAAACGAGAGCGCUAAGGCCCAGUCCUGAAAACCCCACACCCACUCCAAAGUGGAAUUCUAGUGGUCAACAGGCCCCCCAUCCGGUGCUGUGAGGGUUAGGAGACUCAGGGGAUGUGGGGAGAGAAGCCAAAGGUGGGAAGGGCAACGUGGGUCAGACUCCUCCAAUCAACCAUGCUUCAGAAUCAUCAACUGGGAUAUUUGAAUUGGGUACACAAGCCCUUACUGAGUACCGAUUGGGGCCAGGCACAGUUCUAGGCACUGGGGAGACAAAGGUGGGUAAGACUCAGUCCCUGCCUUCAGGGAGCUUAGAUACCAUCACUUGUCUUCAGCAAAUUUCUGGUUGAUCCUAGGCCAAAUAAUUCUGAGCAACCCAAAUAAUUCUUAGCAUCACGCCCCUCUUCCUUCGCCUAUGCACCAUGAGCGCUGGCAGGGAAGCCCAUGCCAUCAGUCAGAGCUUCCUAGCCAAUGUGCAGCCCACCAGUGGGUUCUGGUUGGGCCAAUAUUGGUCUCAGCAUGAUGCGAUGGGGCCAGGGCAGCCUCGGUUCUUUACUGCAGUGGCUGUAAAGAGAGUUUCAUUUUCUAUGAGAAUUACAGCAUGACAAAGGUUGGGAAGCCCUGCCUAAGCCAUCUGGUGAAAGAGGGUGCAAAUGCCACCAAAGAGUUCCAAUUCUGGGUCCCAAAGAGUCAUUAACUGCUGCUCCCUGGAUUCCAGAGUUUUGACUACAUAGAACAGCAAAGAAGAAACCAAAAGUUGGCAUCCAUCCAAUUCCUCACCUGGAUGGAUGAGGCCAGCACCUGAUUGUUUUAGACUGAGGAGGCGUCUGAGGCUGAGAACUGUUAAGAGACAGGGGUCUAGGGUCUGCAACUCUCUCUGGUUUCCUGAAGCUUUUUCUUACAGGGCACAAAGAGAGGAAUCUGCCAGCCUUUGGUCUCAGCAUCUGUCCCAUGGGCAAAGCGUGUAUCCAGCAAGAAUCCCGCUGUGUGGCAAGCAAUGGAGGUGUUUAGAAAGGAAGUAUGUAACUGGCUUGAAGAAGACCCGGCAACCUCCGAGACAGCCUAGGAGGGAGCGGCACAGGUACGGAGUGGCACUGUGGCUGUUUCACCUUCCGAGAGACCCUGGCGAAAACAGUUCCUCCCUGAUUCGUGUGGGAAUGCCACAGUGGGGACAAAGGAUGGAGGUAAGAGCAUUUGUUUUGGAGUCACGUGGGAUGAAUUCCAAUGUCAGACCAGCCAGGUAUUCUCCAGUAAGCUACUCAAACUCUUAAGACUUGAAAGGGCAACACUAAAAGCUUCCUCUCACAGGAUUGUGAUAAAGAAUGAAGAAAAUUAUGGCCUGGAAUGGUGGCUCACACUUGUAAUCCCAGCACUUUGGGAG
Molecule: long non-coding RNA, 5409 nt
Organism: Sapajus apella (tufted capuchin)
Lineage: Eukaryota; Metazoa; Chordata; Mammalia; Primates; Cebidae
Exons: 3
Source: RefSeq, a predicted model, not a curated record